AACGAACGCUGGCGGCAGGCUUAACACAUGCAAGUCGAGCGCACUCUUCGGAGUGAGCGGCAGACGGGUGAGUAACGCGUGGGAAUCUACCUAUCUCUAGGGAAUAACUCAGGGAAACUUGUGCUAAUACCCUAUACGUCCGUAAGGAGAAAGAUUUAUCGGAGAUAGAUGAGCCCGCGUUGGAUUAGCUAGUUGGUGGGGUAAAGGCCUACCAAGGCGACGAUCCAUAGCUGGUCUGAGAGGAUGAUCAGCCACACUGGGACUGAGACACGGCCCAGACUCCUACGGGAGGCAGCAGUGGGGAAUAUUGGACAAUGGGCGCAAGCCUGAUCCAGCCAUGCCGCGUGAGUGAUGAAGGCCCUAGGGUUGUAAAGCUCUUUCACCGGUGAAGAUAAUGACGGUAACCGGAGAAGAAGCCCCGGCUAACUUCGUG
This 433-nucleotide ribosomal RNA is filed under the name uncultured organism. RNAcentral describes it as "bacterial SSU rRNA". It matches the Rfam family "Bacterial small subunit ribosomal RNA", at positions 29 to 507 of the family's 1533-position model. The record is from RNAcentral.